GGAGGCUGCUGGUGAUCAGCUCCUCUUAAAUGCAUUAGCUGGAACCUCAAGUGUAUCUCCGGUGUGAUAAUGUCUACGCCGUCUGAUUACUGUCAAAGUUGCUUGCGACGAUGACUGUAGGAUCCGCUUCUAAUCGUCCUUUCUGGACAAUUCAUUUGACAUCUGACCUCAAAUCAGGUAGGACUACCCGCUGAACUUAA
RNAcentral lists this unclassified non-coding RNA (200 nucleotides) under soil metagenome. Its description in RNAcentral is "partial contains internal transcribed spacer 2 and large subunit ribosomal RNA". The record is from RNAcentral.